GUACCAGACUCCUACGGGAGGCAGCAGCGAGGAAUAUUGGUCAAUGGCCGAGAGGCUGAACCAGCCAAGUCGCGUGAGGGAAGAAUGUCCUAUGGAUUGUAAACCUCUUUUGUCAGGGAGCAAAGUCACCCACGUGUGGGUGUUGGAGAGUACCUGAAGAAAAAGCAUCGGCUAACUCCGUGCCAGCAGCCGCGGUCAUACGUAGGAUCCGAGCAUUAUCCGGAGUGACUGGGUGUAAAGAGUUGCGUAGGUGGCAUAAUAAGUAGCUAGUGAAAUCUGGUGGCUCAACCAUUCAGACUAUUAGCUAAACUGUUAAGCUCGAGACCGUUAGGGGUAACUGGAAUUUCUAGUGUAGGAGUGAAAUCCGUAGAUAUUAGAAGGAACACCGAUAGCGUAGGCAGGUUACUGGGACGGUUCUGACACUAAGGCACGAAAGCGUAGGGAGCAAACGGGAUUAGAUACCCGAGUA
RNAcentral lists this ribosomal RNA (469 nucleotides) under uncultured bacterium. Its description in RNAcentral is "bacterial SSU rRNA". It matches the Rfam family "Bacterial small subunit ribosomal RNA", at positions 328 to 792 of the family's 1533-position model. The record is from RNAcentral.